AACGUAGGAGACAAACGUUAUCCGGAGUUACUGGGCGUAAAGGGCGUGUAGGUGGUUUUGUAAGUCUGGCGUGAAAUUUCUCGGCUUAACCGAGGCAGGUCGUCGGAUACUAUAAGACUAGAGGACGGUAGAGGCGUGUGGAAUUCCGGGUGUAGUGGUGAAAUGCGUAGAGAUCCGGAGGAACACCAGUGGCGAAGGCGACACGCUGGGCCGUACCUGACACUGAUGCGCGACAGCAUGGGGAGCAAACAAG
RNAcentral lists this ribosomal RNA (253 nucleotides) under uncultured bacterium. Its description in RNAcentral is "partial 16S ribosomal RNA". It matches the Rfam family "Bacterial small subunit ribosomal RNA", at positions 524 to 776 of the family's 1533-position model. The record is from RNAcentral.